AUAAUUUAGAUGGCCUUUGCUAGUUUUCUAGCGAAUGGUUCAUUCUUUUUUACUGUGAACUGUUUUAAUUUUUCAGCGUCUGAGGAAUGUCUUUUAGCCAUAGGGAUAGGCUACUAGAAUGUUAACCGAGCUGAAAGUCAGGCUUAGGCCUGGUAUCCUAUUAAUUAUUUACCAAAAGAAUUCAGUAUUAUAAUUGUAACAUAAGCGUAAAAAACUUAUAAAACAACUUUUAACAACGGAUCUCUUGGUUCUCGCAUCGAUGAAGAACGUAGCAAAGUGCGAUAACUAGUGUGAAUUGCAUAUUCAGUGAAUCAUCGAGUCUUUGAACGCAACUUGCGCUCAAUGGUAUUCCAUUGAGCACGCCUGUUUCAGUAUCAAAAACACCCCACAUUCAUAAUUUUGUUGUGAAUGGAAUUGAGAGUUUCGGCUUUAUUGCUGAAUUCUUUAAAAUUAUUAGGCCUGAACUAUUGUUCUUUCUGCCUGAACAUUUUUUUAAUAUAAAGGAAUGCUCUAGUAAAAAGACUAUCUCUGGGGCCUCCCAAAUAAAUCAUUCUUAAAUUUGAUCUGAAAUCAGGCGGGAUUACCCGCUGAACUUAAGCAUAUCAAUAA
Molecule: ribosomal RNA, 609 nt
Filed under: Beauveria bassiana
Lineage: Eukaryota; Fungi; Ascomycota; Sordariomycetes; Hypocreales; Cordycipitaceae
Description: eukaryotic LSU rRNA
Rfam family: 5.8S ribosomal RNA (bases 225-377)
Source: RNAcentral